This 148-nucleotide non-coding RNA is filed under the name Oryza sativa (Asian cultivated rice). RNAcentral also lists the same sequence under 1 other name. The record is from miRBase by way of RNAcentral. Lineage: Eukaryota; Viridiplantae; Streptophyta; Magnoliopsida; Poales; Poaceae.
UCUUGAUUUGAUGGUAGGGUUAGUGUUAUUUGUAAAGAGAAAACCAGCUUCCAGAUCUCGAAUUUGCCUCAAACUUAUCUUCUCUUGUAGAUCUGGAAGCUAGGUUUUCUCUUUACAAAUAACACUAUUUUUUCCCCCAUUAGGUCUG